ACAUUUCAAUUCAACCUUUAGAUUCAAUACCAUACACAUUUCAAUUCAACCUUUGGAUUAAAAUUAGAAGCCAAAUCCAAUCCCAUUUAUUCAAAUAUAUUGCAUUUCAACCAAAUUCCGAUUCUAAUACAUUAAUUCCCAUUACAACAUCAAUACAAUAAUUACAAAAACUACAAAACUCAAGCAAUCCAUGUCCAACUCAAGCUCCAAUAUCCAAAACUCCAAGCUUCAUAGCCAAAACCAUAAAUCCAUAGCAUUCCAAUAUCCAAAUUACAUAGCAUCCAUCCAGCACUCCAAAAUAAUCCCAAUGAAUGUGAUAACUUCAAAACAGCCCCAUGAAUCCAAUAGCUCAUGCAUAGGACAUGCAUCCAAUUCAUAUGAAACAUACAUAAGUUCACAUAUUCAAUACAUUGACAAACAAUUAUAACACAUUUCCACAACAUGACAAUUGAACAGCCAUCAUAAAUAAUACACCAAGUUGCAUUCCAUUGCAUGUGACAUACACCAAAACAAAGCAAACAUUGGAUAACUACAAAACAUCAGAAGCAACUGCAAUGCACACAAGUUGCAAGUGUACUAGCAGACCCAAACAUAACAAUGGCAUAAAAAUCGAAGUGAAGCAUCAACAAGCAGCUAUAGCAGUGCAUAACACAACAUCAGUUCAUGACAGGAUCUUAACAACAAUGCAUGACAAGCAUAGCAAGUCAAAACAAAUCAGCAGCAACAGUAAUAAUUCAACUAACCUGCAUUUCCAUUAAUCCGAACUAACUUUUAACAGAACAAAUCAUUAACUUCACCCUAACCUACACACUUAACUAACUAACAAUUUCAUUUUUACAUUCAUUUGAAUUUCAUUCAACUAACUUUAGCAAUAUAACUAACAAACUGAAUUUUCACUAACUAUAAACAUUUAACAGCAGCGUAUUUCAUAAAAGAGGAAAAUUAAUUUCAUUUGCAGUUAUUUGAAAUUUCAUUUCAAUUUGAGUUCCAACUAACUUUUCAUUUCUACCCAAAUAAUGAAUUACCUAUGAAUUACAGUUUAAUUUCAUUUGAAUUUAGAAAUAGAAAUCGAACUCUAUAAAACCAUACUCACGCUUCAGAUCAAAACUUGAGAGUCCACUGAUUUUUACAUUCACGCUUAAAAUCACAGGGGGUUCAAAACACAUUUUUUUCAAUCCACAUUUUUCAUUCAAUACUUACUCAUUCAUAACAGAAAAUUCAGCAGAGAAAGAAGCAUCACGCAACACAGAAAAGGCGUCCUAAUCAGUUCUUCAUCACGAAUUCAACAGAAAAUAUUCAGAAAAUCGAUCACAACGAUUCGCAUAAACACACGCAACUUCACAACAUAUUAGUAGCACGGAGGGAGAAGAAGAAGAAGUAAUUGGAAAUCAAAUGGAAUAUUCGAUACCUGUUCAAUCCGGUAAGUCCUCCAAUUCGUCUUCGAUAUCAUUUCUUCUUCUGUUUGUUCAUACGAUAAUAGAGCGAAUUGAAUUUUGAAUCUUCGAAUCUUGGAAUUGAUGAUGGAACGACGCGAUCACGAAGUGAGUUGAAAUGUGAAUCACGAAUCUCUGAAGCGCGAUGAUUGAUGAACGUAGAAACUGAAGAAAGAACGCAUUAUUGUGAUCAAAGCAUCGAACACGGUGAUAAUGGUGAGGGGACGCCGACGUGAAGAACGGAUCGCGCGGUCGCAAUGGCUUUUUGGGAUAAGCGCUUUUCCAUGUUUCUGCUACAGCUUGUACGAAGAACACGAAGAAGGAGUGGACUCGGUUCCUCAUUCAAGUGCACAUUCAAGCUUGGAUCUGGUUUGGGCCAAGGCCCAAAU
RNAcentral lists this long non-coding RNA (1822 nucleotides) under Lathyrus oleraceus (garden pea). Its description in RNAcentral is "Pisum sativum (pea) long non-coding RNA (PSAT_LNC012283)". The record is from RNAcentral. Lineage: Eukaryota; Viridiplantae; Streptophyta; Magnoliopsida; Fabales; Fabaceae.